GGGAAAUUUUUAAUAACUUUGAGCGCUUGGCAAAUCUAAACUAAACAAUAUUUUUCUAUUAUUUAAAAUGGAUAUUAAAGUUGGAGGAAAUCAAAAAGCUGACAAAAGUGUUCGUCUUCUGUAGAGGAAAAAAAGGUGUUCUGCGUAUUUGUGCGUUGUUUAAUAUGUGCUUGAAUUCUGUCACGCCACGUUGCUGGACGUGUGGAUGGACAGCGGGCGCCACUCUUCCGCGCUGGUUGAACUUGUAUUUGGUCA
Long non-coding RNA from Drosophila nasuta, 255 nucleotides. RefSeq lists it as uncharacterized. NCBI's taxonomy places the organism in Eukaryota, Metazoa, Arthropoda, Insecta, Diptera, Drosophilidae. The transcript is spliced from 3 exons. The record is from RefSeq and is a predicted model, not a curated record.